CACGUAGGGCGCAAGCGUUGUCCGGAAUUAUUGGGCGUAAAGAGCUCGUAGGCGGUCUGUCGCGUCGGCUGUGAAAACCUGGGGCUCAACCCCGGGCCUGCAGCCGAUACGGGCAGACUAGAAUUCGGCAGGGGAGACUGGAAUUCCUGGUGUAGCGGUGAAAUGCGCAGAUAUCAGGAGGAACACCGGUGGCGAAGGCGGGUCUCUGGGCCGAUAUUGACGCUGAGGAGCGAAAGCGUGGGGAGCAAACAGG
This 253-nucleotide ribosomal RNA is filed under the name uncultured bacterium. RNAcentral's name for it is "partial 16S ribosomal RNA". It matches the Rfam family "Bacterial small subunit ribosomal RNA", at positions 524 to 776 of the family's 1533-position model. The record is from RNAcentral.